GAGAGAGAGAGAGAGAGAGAGAGAGAAAGAGAGAGAGAAAGAGAGAGAUGUUUUGUGUUCUGAAGUUUACACCAUCGAUCCUAAGACAGCUGUGCUGUGGGAAACCUGAGCUGGACCCCUCAGAUCAAGUUGAGAAGAAACCAGUGGCCUGGAAGGUGAGCCUGCCAAUGCGCUGCAAGUGGGUGAGUGAAUGUGAGCAGAGGGGAGAGAGAGGCAACUCACUCAAAGUUCAAAACCCCCGUGAUGGAAGAAGGGACUCACACUCAGGGGGCCUGGGCUAAGAGUUCUGAAAGCCAAGUUUCAAAGAUUCUUGAUUGAGUUUGGUGUUAUAAAAGCAGCCAAGCAAAAAGACAGAGAUUUCUCACAAUAGGUUCAUGGCUUGUUUUCUGCCAUUUCCAUUCCCUUUUCCAGGCUAGUGUUUUGGAACCAUCUCCCCAUCCAAGGAACACUUGCAAACUGUGAGCAGCUGAGAUGAGUUAGGGGUCGGAUAUAGGAUGGGAACCUCCUGUUUCCCCGUUCUUCCACCCCUGAUUUCCUCUCCUGAUGCCUCACAUCCCGGCACUGUCCCUGGCUUCAUCACCCCAGGCUCUACAAGGGAGAAGCCAGGAAGAGGACUUAGCUGCAGAGAAGGAGCAGAUGGGGUGCCAGACCAGCAGUGUCUAACCACUCACCUUCUGCCCCGGGCACAGGCACAGAUGUCAGGAUGACAGCACAUUCUGCCUGCCCCUCUAUGCAAAAUACUCUGCUUGACUUCAUGCUAUAAUUGUGCUGAUUCUAGAUAGGAAAGGCUGCAACACAGGAGGUCCAGGGAAACACUUCAGUAGGCACUGGUAUUAGGGCACCUCUGUUGAGGGCAUAACCCAUCCCUCGACUCCCACUAGCUGCUUCCAUUUGUACAGGGGAGGAGGCAAAGGCCCCUAGAAUGAGAGUAUUUUGCCUCAUUCUGGUAUGGAACAUUUUAAGAUUGCAUUUGCCUUAUAGGUGAUCAAUUUAAUGCAGCAUUGUAAAAGCCAGUACCCAGAGAAGACUUCCUGUGCCAGGCAUCAUGUCCGGUUCAUACAUGAACAGUGUGGCUUAAAUUUCUAUCCAAGAAGCUCAGGAUGGUUCUGUGGGUAAAAGGUCUGCUGCAUAAGUAUGAGGACCUAAAUCCCAUGGCCAGCACCCAGGUAAACAGGCAGGUGUGGUAUAGACACAUUUGUAAUACCAGCAGGCGUGGUGCCAUGCGCACUUUGAUCCCAGUGCUUGGGAAGUAGAAAGAGGAGUGUUGCUAGCUGGCCAGGUAACCUGUGGCUGGUAUCAGGUUCAGUGAGAAAUUCUGUCUCAAAAAUGAAUAAAUAAAUAAAUAAAUAAAUAAAUAAAUGAUGGACAACUACUUGGGAACAAUACCAGAGGUUGGCCUCUGGCCACCACACCCAGGUGUAUAAACGUGCACUUGUACACACAUGAACAUGUGCAUGCCCCUCCCCCACUACUGCAUUAUUGCAUGGUGUAUGUCCUAUUACUUCUAUUGGUGAACUAAGAAAACUGAGGCACACACAGAAUAAUAGCAGACGUAGGACUUAAAACCAGAUGAGAACAGGAAGACACUUGAAAAGGACAUAAAGGAGAAUUAAAGUGCUAUUUGAGUUAUGUUCCCCAAGAAAAGUUACUUCCUCCUGAGACUAGAAGAUCUCAAGGGCAGAACAGGAGGCUGAGGUACACAAGGUUAAGCUGUGCAACUGUCUAUCCCAAAGCAAUAAUGCUAAAUGCAUGGUUUUAUGAAGCAUAGCUUUUGAACAGAUACGAGCAGUGCAAACAAGGGAAAAUCAAGCCAUCAGCUACCCUCAUACAACAAGGCAAAAUCAGCAGCUUUGUGAUUCUUGCUUGUGAUUUCCAUGCAGGCAACACAGACACACAAAAUCUGGGGGAAGGGUCUACACACGUAUACACACACACACACACACACACACACACACACUGGGGGAAGGGUCUGCUCAGUAUCCAGGAAAAAAAAAAACAUGAACUAAUGAGUAACUCAUGAGUUAGAGCCAAAAUUGGACAACUAAGAAGCAACAGAGUUACGUCAGCAGCGUGGAGAAGAGAGGGCCUAUUCUCCCUAAGUCUGCUAGCGGGGCAGAACACUGCCAGUGAAUGAACAGAUCAACAAUGUUCUCUAGAGAACAAAAGGAAAUGUUUGCAAGGAAGGAGUAAAAGCUAAAAAUAGCUCGCCUGCUUACAGAUUUCCCAAAAGUCAGCCAUGCUGUGCCUGUGUGAACCCUUUGGGCAACAUCAUUUAAAUAUUUUUCACAUGAGGACAAAAAAAAAAAUCUACAAAAUUCAAAAGCUCAAUUUCCAGCAAACCAGUAAACUCCUAAGCCAAAGGAUACCAUAGUCAGCAUACACACGGAAAUGGGGACUUUGGCUUUGCAAUGUGAGGGGGCCUCCUGCGCAGGACUGUGGAGAGUGGCUGAACUAGCACUCACAACUGACUAUACCACUUCCCAGGUUUAGAGUCCUGGAGUGAUUCCCUACAUAGUUCUCAGCAUCAUCAGUUUGGGGAUGUUAAACAUAAUAAAAGCUAGCAAUGCUCAUCUAUCUUCCAGAUAAAACUAAGUGUGAAGCCAUACAACAACCCAAUGGGCAAAUCAGAGCACACUUCUUGCAGAAAAUGUUUGAUCAUGGGAGCCUAAAAAAAUAUGGUUAACUUCUGUUUCGAUGGGGAAUUUUGAAAGGAAGUUACUUUUCUUUCUUUUUUUGGUUUUACUUGUUUAAGAUUCAUUCUGUGCAUGUGGGUGUUUGCCUGUAUGUAUAUACACAGACAUGCAUGCCUGGUGUGCAUGGAGGCUGGUAGGCUUGGACCUCCUGGACCUGGAAGUACAGAUGGUUAUGGCUGCCAUAUAAAAACAAAAGUUCCACUUAACCUUGAUGCUGAGUCAGAGAGAGCUUGGCUCACCAUCCUAUGCCCGCCAGCCCAGCACAUGCCCAGGGGAUGCCCCGCUCAACGUCUGUGCACUGAGGUGUGAGAAGAAUGUGCGCUGUGGAGAACCUAACUGAGUUCAAAACUGCUUUUAACAUACAACCAACAAAGACAUCAGCAAGAAUGAAAACUGGUGAGAGGCAUUACUCUUCCUUCUGCAGAAGUUCAAAAGGCCAGAGAUUACAGAGAGCACAACCCACGAAGCAGGAACAGAUACUGGCAAUGCCUCUCCUGAUCGAUAUCUUGUAAAUUACCAACCUGGCAGUUGACACACAAAACACAGUGAAACUCAGGUCCCUAAUGACAACACGGUAAACAGUGAACUAGGACAUCCACAUGCCUGGAAACUGGAAGUUCCUGCACAGACAUUUAAAUAUCACCAUGACAAGCUCGUGAGCUCCUCUGGCCAUCCAACCUCCAGACUGUGGCAGUGUGGAAUCCAAACUAUGAGGUGUCAUAUCUUAGAUCCAAUCUACUGCAUAUGUAUGGCAAAUUCAGAAGUCAUUAGUGAACACAGAAGUUAUGGAUCUUAUUCAAUGGCCAUUCAUUUUAGAUGAAUACAAAAGGUCUCUAACUUAAAAGCAGCAAAUACACAGAUCUCUGUGUACAAAGGGUAGAAGGUAUUGGUCACUGGUUCUCAGCACAAAUAUCUCAACACUCUAUUCUGAGAGGACUACACAGAGGACAGACUCUGCACAGUCAUCCAAAGGACACAUUCUGCUCAUGAAUGGUUAGCCGAAGGUCUAAGAAGUAUAGGGAAUUGUUUGGUUUAAGAGAGACACACUAAGAGAGAUGGCACAGUGGUUAAGAGCACUGGGUUUCUGUCCAGAGGAACCAGGUUCAUUUUCUGGCACCCACAUGGUGGCUCACAGUCUUUAUCUGUAUAUGUCUAGUUCUAGGGAUCCAUCACCCUCUUCUGGCUUCCUUAGGGACCAUGCACACAAGUGAUAAGACAGGCAAAACAUAAAACAACCUAUAGAUCACUUCACUAGCAUCUGAGGCUGUGGCAGGAAGAUCAUGUGUUCAAGGCCAGUUGGGCUAUACAUUAUCAGAUUUUUUUUUUGUCUCAAAAGAUAAAACAGAAAAGAAAAAAACCCAGAAACCCCUUUUCUUUUCUGGCCUGGGGAGAUGGCUUAGUUGAAGUACUGGCUGCUGAAUAAGCAUGAGGACUUUAGCACCAACCCCAGAAUCUUCUUUUAAAAAACCCAGUAAACUGGUCGCCGCUUGCAGGUGGAUUCCUGGGGGUUGGUGGUUAGCCUGCUUACCCUAUCUAGUGAGCCCCAGGUCUCACUGAGAGACAGUCCCUGAAGAACAUCACACGCUGGCCUCUGGCCACCAUACACAUGAACACACGCAAGUAACAGUCAUUUUUCUUUUCUCUUUGGCACUCAAGGAGUAUGUUUCAAUCUACCACACAUACAUUUUUCCUGGGGGAAAAAAACCCCUGUACACAGUCAUUUACUUUUUUUGUGUUUGGCUAUCAUGUAGCCCAAGAUGGACUUGAACUUGCUAUGGAGUUAAGGCUGGUCUUGAACUCCUGAUCUUCCUGCCUCUUUUCCAAGUGCAGGGUUACAAUUAACACGCCCACCACUCCUAGCUCCACAUGGCUGUGUUACUUGUGAUUUUAACUUGAGGCUACUCAGCAGUAGAAAAGAAAUGAAGGUUCAAAGAGGUUGGAAGCCGCUGUUGUUUCUCCACGAGCAGUUAUGCUACAAGAUCUUUCACUGGUGGGCUCACCUCAGACUGAAAGUGCAGUGUGAGGGGUGUGAAAAGGGAACUCUGUGCCUCUGUAGGCUUAACUUCUCCAUUGUGUUCAGUGUGUGGAGAACAAAUGAGGCCAAGAGAGAGACCUGACAGCAGCUGAAAGGAAAGAAACAACUGGUGGCUUUGCCAUGAUGAACACCCUGCUUACCUGUGCA
Long non-coding RNA from Mus caroli (Ryukyu mouse), 4875 nucleotides. RefSeq lists it as uncharacterized. NCBI's taxonomy places the organism in Eukaryota, Metazoa, Chordata, Mammalia, Rodentia, Muridae. The record is from RefSeq and is a predicted model, not a curated record.